RNAcentral lists this ribosomal RNA (448 nucleotides) under uncultured bacterium. RNAcentral's name for it is "bacterial SSU rRNA". It matches the Rfam family "Bacterial small subunit ribosomal RNA", at positions 328 to 793 of the family's 1533-position model. The record is from RNAcentral.
GGUCCAGACUCCUACGGGAGGCAGCAGUGGGGAAUAUUGCACAAUGGGGGAAACCCUGAUGCAGCGACGCCGCGUGAGUGGAGAAGUAUUUCGGUAUGUAAAGCUCUAUCAGCAGGGAAGAAAAUGACGGUACCUGAUUAAGAAGCCCCGACUAACUACGUGCCAGCAGCCGCGGUAAUACGUAGGGGGCAAGCGUUAUCCGGAUUUACUGGGUGUAAAGGGAGCGUAGACGGCAGCGCAAGUCUGGAGUGAAAGCCCGGGGCCCAACCCCGGGACUGCUCUGGAAACUGCGUCGCUGGAGUACGGGAGGGGCAGGCGGAAUUCCUGGUGUAGCGGUGAAAUGCGUAGAUAUCAGGAGGAACACCGGCGGCGAAGGCGGCCUGCUGGACCGUGACUGACGUUGAGGCUCGAGAGCGUGGGGAGCAAACAGGAUUAGAUACCCGAGUAU